This 310-nucleotide unclassified non-coding RNA is filed under the name plant metagenome. Its description in RNAcentral is "partial contains 5.8S ribosomal RNA, internal transcribed spacer 2, and large subunit ribosomal RNA". The stretch from base 1 to 105 matches the Rfam family "5.8S ribosomal RNA", at positions 50 to 154 of the family's 154-position model. The record is from RNAcentral.
GAAAUGCGAUAAGUAGUGUGAAUUGCAGAAUUCAGUGAAUCAUCGAAUCUUUGAACGCACAUUGCGCCCCUUGGUAUUCCAUGGGGCAUGCCUGUUCGAGCGUCAUUUGUACCCUCAAGCUCUGCUUGGUGUUGGGUGUUUGUCCCCGUCUCCGCGCGUGGACUAGCCCCAAAGUGAUUGGCAGCCGGCGUACUGGUCCCGGAGCGCAGCACAUGUCGCGCAAACGAGUGCCUUGGUACGGCGGCGUCCAUAAGCCCCUCUCUCACGCUCUUGACCUCGGAUCAGGUAGGGAUACCCGCUGAACUUAAGC